AGGUUUUCUUCCACAGUCAGCAGUGAUGCUGUCAUACUUGUAGCAGAGAUGCUGAAAGUAUUUGUUGAAGAGGCGACACGCAGAGCUGUUAAACAGGCCGACAGUGAGGACUGUGACAAUAUUGAUAUUGAGCACUUUGAAAAGAUUCUGCCACAAUUGCUUCUUGACGUUUAAUUUUGCUGAGGAGCCAGUAGAUGGCGACGUAACCAAGUUCUGCUGGGCCUGAACAUCCUGGACUUCACUUUGCAUAUUCGCACAAGCUUCAAUCUUAUU
Sinocyclocheilus anshuiensis is the source of this 273-nucleotide long non-coding RNA. RefSeq lists it as uncharacterized. NCBI's taxonomy places the organism in Eukaryota, Metazoa, Chordata, Actinopteri, Cypriniformes, Cyprinidae. The transcript has 3 exons. The record is from RefSeq and is a predicted model, not a curated record.